RNAcentral lists this ribosomal RNA (479 nucleotides) under uncultured bacterium. Its description in RNAcentral is "partial 16S ribosomal RNA". It matches the Rfam family "Bacterial small subunit ribosomal RNA", at positions 28 to 507 of the family's 1533-position model. The record is from RNAcentral.
GAUGAACGCUGGCGGCGUGCUUAACACAUGCAAGUCGAGCGAGAAGUUUUGAAAAGAUUCUUCGGAUGAAAUUUAAAAUGGAAAGCGGCGGACGGGUGAGUAACGCGUAGGCAACCUGCCCCAUACAAAGGGAUAGCAUUUGGAAACGAAUAUUAAUACCUUAUGAAACUUAACUAGUGCAUGCUAGGUAGGUCAAAGAUUUAUCGGUAUGGGAUGGGCCUGCGUCUGAUUAGCUAGUUGGUGAGGUAACGGCUCACCGAGGCGACGAUCAGUAGCCGACCUGAGAGGGUGAACGGCCACAUUGGAACUGAGCCACGGUCCAAACUCCUACGGGAGGCAGCAGUGGGGAAUAUUGCACAAUGGGGGAAACCCUGAUGCAGCAACGCCGCGUGAACGAUGAAGGCCUUUGGGUCGUAAAGUUCUGUUCUAGGUGAUGAAAACUGACAGUAACCUAGGAGAAAGCCCCGGCUAACUCCGUG